Nicotiana tabacum (common tobacco) is the source of this 944-nucleotide long non-coding RNA. RefSeq lists it as uncharacterized. NCBI's taxonomy places the organism in Eukaryota, Viridiplantae, Streptophyta, Magnoliopsida, Solanales, Solanaceae. The record is from RefSeq and is a predicted model, not a curated record.
AUAAAAACUAUCAUACUAUAAAACCCGGACGAUGACCUUGACAUUACAGACCAGAAUUAUGGCUUCCAAAUCUUCAACAAAACUUGCUCUUUUCACUGUCCUCCUCCUCUUAUUUACCAUUGUUACAUCGUCUGGAAGGAUAAUCAUGGAAGAAGUACAAGUAGGUGAUGAAGGAGCAAUGGCAACAAUAGAGCUAUUAAGAAGUGAAGUGCUGCAGCACCAGCAAAAUGACAGAUGCACAUAUUAUCGUUGUCACUCUGAUUCUCAUUGCAAAAAGUUUUAUUGCUCUAGAUGUUCUUCGGACAUCAUGGGUAGGGGUGUUUGUAUGACUUAAUUGUACCAAUAUAUGUAAUAUAUAUGCACAUGGGAGAGAGCCUAGGCUGGAUGUUUGGAGUGCAAAAAUAUGAAGAAACGAUGCUCCUUCUAUAGGAGAAGAGGGUGGAUGCGUCGCAUCCAACCUUGAAAAAAAUGCAAUUUGGAGCAACCUUAGCAAUGAAGUCUUAAGAAGGCAUCCACCUUAGCAUUCGCACCUGGAUAAAGCAAGGUUGAGGGAACAGAGGGUGGACGCAAAGCAUUCACCCCAAUAUUCAAUGCUUAGAAGUUCAAGCUAAGGCGGACGCGAAGCAUCCACCCCACCAUCAAUCUCUGAAGCUGAUUCGGAAAAGAUAAAGGGAAAUUUUUGCCCACGACUUUUAUACGCAAUAUAUAGGUCAAAAACGUCUCUUUUAGGGGAUAGAACACACUUUUUGAAGGGGAUUCGACUUAGGGAUAGCAAGGAGCCACCGUGGAGGCCGGAUUUCAUCUUCUUCCGCCAAACUUAGUAUUUCUUAUGUUUCUCUAUAUGAUUUGUUGUUUGGCUAUCAUGUUUAUGUGGGGAGCUAAACUUCAAGUUCUAGGGUUGUGGUUCUUUCAUGACUCUUGUUAUUCGAAUAUUAUUUUGAUUU